GACGGAGGAUGCAAGUGUUAUCCGGAAUCACUGGGCGUAAAGCGUCUGUAGGUGGUCAAAUAAGUCAACUGUUAAAUCUUGAGGCUCAACCUCAAAACCGCAGUCGAAACUAUUAGACUAGAGUAUAGUAGGGGUAAAGGGAAUUUCCAGUGGAGCGGUGAAAUGCGUAGAGAUUGGAAAGAACACCGAUGGCGAAGGCACUUUACUGGGCUAUCACUAACACUCAGAGACGAAAGCUAGGGUAGCAAAUGGG
RNAcentral lists this ribosomal RNA (253 nucleotides) under uncultured bacterium. RNAcentral's name for it is "partial 16S ribosomal RNA". It matches the Rfam family "Bacterial small subunit ribosomal RNA", at positions 524 to 776 of the family's 1533-position model. The record is from RNAcentral.